CUACAUUUAGCUCAAUUUGCUUCGAACAAGGAUGCUGGUUCAAGGUCUUUUUGCUCUCUAAUUCACAACCUCCUUUUUGUAUUUGCAGUUUCCCAACAAAUGUGUUUUCUUUUACUUAAGAUGAAUUUUCUCUGUGUUUACAAAAGGAGGGUGAAAGGAAGAUUCGAGGAGUAGGGGAUAAGCUAGUAGUCAAGAGGAUAUUCGUAUUGGUCUUCUUGGUGCAAGUGGCUACACUGGUGCCGAGGUACAUUCUCUCAACUUGUUAAUUUCAUUUUGAAUCUUCUUGCUUAUUUUAGUGAUGUCUUUGAUUAAGUGUACAUUUUGCAAGUGUGUGUCUUCCUUCUUCAGCUUAAGUGUACAUUUGCAGAAAUGUUUAAUGUGUUAAGUCUUGUGUCUUAACCAAAUGAUUUUUCUGGAAUGGGCAGAUAGUUAGGCUUGUUGCAAACCAUCCGCAUUUUGGUGUCACACUCAUGACUGCAGAUAGAAAAGCUGGCCAGUCUAUGGAUAGCGUUUUCCCUCACCUCACAGCUCAAGUAUUUAACUCAUGAUUUCUUCUACUCAUGGUAACAACCAAUCUUUAAGCAUCAUCUUCUCUACAGUUAUCGUUAAAAACUAAACCUCUACUGUUUGAGUAGACCCGCGGAAUGCAAUCGACUAUAUAUGUGGAAAUGGCUCCCGGAGUUAGAACACAAGACUUGUACCAGCAGUUAAAAUCGUCUUAUGAGGUUGUGAUAUGGUUUUUACUCUUUGUGUUAUAUGUAUCAAAGCCAGAUACUAGUUUUGUUUUACUUAUAUAUUAUGUAGGAAGAAGAGUUUGUCAAAGUGGUGGAUGAAGGAGUUGUUCCUCGAACACACAAUGUUAGAGGCUCAAACUAUUGUUUUGUGAACGUGUUCCCUGAUCGUAUACCUAGACGAGCUAUCAUAAUCUCAGUGAUUGACAAUCUUGUGAAAGGAGCUUCAAAGGAUAAUUCUAAGCACAAUGUGGCUGUUUAGAGUGCUUUUAUGAUUGAAUUUACACUAUUUAUUCAAUAAAGCACCAGAGGAAAGUCAAGUCAAGUCUAGGGAAUGCAAAAUCUACAGCCACACAGAUCAGUGAGAUAAUAAAAAGAAAGAAUCCUAUCAUCUUAGAAGAUUUGUAUUAUGUAUGAUAUUAAAAAUGUAAAAAUUUGAUUAUUUGUAAGCAAGCUCAAAAGGUGAAGGAAAAUAGAUGGAUGAAGCCCUCUAUUUGAACUGCAAACGAAAAGGAAUAAAGAUUAACCAAAGAUGAGAGUAUGGCAUAACCACUAUACUAAACUGGUUCUCUUGAUCCAUCAUUGCAUAAGAAUAUGUGUUCUCAGUUGAACCGGCUCUUCUGAUCUCUAUCAAUAGGUUCAAAUUCC
This is a long non-coding RNA of Brassica napus (rape), 1379 nucleotides long. RefSeq lists it as uncharacterized. NCBI's taxonomy places the organism in Eukaryota, Viridiplantae, Streptophyta, Magnoliopsida, Brassicales, Brassicaceae. The transcript has 2 exons. The record is from RefSeq and is a predicted model, not a curated record.